RNAcentral lists this ribosomal RNA (244 nucleotides) under uncultured bacterium. RNAcentral's name for it is "partial small subunit ribosomal RNA". It matches the Rfam family "Bacterial small subunit ribosomal RNA", at positions 26 to 285 of the family's 1533-position model. The record is from RNAcentral.
AGAAUCAACGCUGGCGGCGUGCCUAACACAUGCAAGUCGAACGAGAAAGUGGAGCAAUCCAUGAGUAAAGUGGCGACCGGGUGAGUAACACGUGACUAACCUACCUUCGAGUGGGGGAUAACCUCGGGAAACCGAGGCUAAUACCGCAUAACAUCGCAAGAUCAAAGCAGCAAUGCGCUGGAAGAGGGGGUCGCGGCUGAUUAGCUAGUUGGCGGGUAAUGGCCCACCAAGGCGAAGAUCGGUA